Trichonephila clavipes is the source of this 73-nucleotide non-coding RNA. NCBI's taxonomy places the organism in Eukaryota, Metazoa, Arthropoda, Arachnida, Araneae, Nephilidae. The record is from the annotation of a GenBank genome assembly.
GUUCCAGUAGCCGGAUGGAGAAUGCGUUGGGCUUCCAAUCCAAAGGUCGUGGCUUCGAAUUCCACCUUGGACG